UACGUAGGGUCCGAGCGUUGUCCGGAGUUACUGGGCGUAAAGCGCGCGCAGGCGGCGGGGCUGGCCCGGCGUGAAAGCCCCCGGCUCAACCGGGGAGAGUCGUCGGGGACCGCACCGCUUGAGGGCGGUAGGGGCUGGUGGAAUGCCUGGUGUAGUGGUGAAAUGCGUAGAGAUCCGGAGGAAUACCAGAGGCGAAGGCGGCUCCCUGGUCCAAGACUGACACUGAGACGCGAAAGCAUGGGGAGCGAACGGG
This 253-nucleotide ribosomal RNA is filed under the name uncultured bacterium. Its description in RNAcentral is "partial 16S ribosomal RNA". It matches the Rfam family "Bacterial small subunit ribosomal RNA", at positions 524 to 776 of the family's 1533-position model. The record is from RNAcentral.